CUAUGCCAUGGAGAAGCAGCUCCAGAGAGGCCCACGUAGAGGACUCCAGCCUCCAGCCCUCAGCUUCUGCCAAGCUCCCAGGCAGCAACACCCACAAUUUGGCAGCCAUUUUGGCCUCCAUCUUGCUCCAUCCAAGCAAAUCAUCUUGGAAGUGGACCUUCCAGCCCCAUUUGAACAUCCACCCCCAUGCUACUCAACCCUUUUGGAGAAGGUGGCAACAUCGUUGGCACUGUCAUCUUAGACAAAAGAGAGUGGGACUGGCAGAAGAUCAGCUAUCUCAAAAUUGGAAAGCAGGUCACUAGUUCCUAUCCACUGUGAUUCGUCUGGCAUUCUUCAGUCCUCUGUACUGUGGCUUCUCCUUUCCCCCAUGAUUUUCAUUAAACAUCUACACAAAAAUUAUUUAAUAUGUGCAAAAUGUAUAAAUAACUAAUCCUGCCCUUCACCAUAUCCAUGAUCCUGCAUUUUGUGUGUUUCCUUUCUUUGUUUUCCUCUAUGGUUUCACUACAUGUGAAUCCCUAGUGAUAGAUUUAUUUUUGCUUGUUUCUUAACUAACAGAAAUGGGAUCACACUGUAUGUAUUCUCCCGAAACUUGCUUUAUUCUCUCAACAUUAAGUUCAUAAAUUUCACCUAUUUGUUUUUUGUCUUAAUCUUUGUAACCAGUCUGUAAAACCAAAUGACUAUCCUCUCUGUUCUGGCACAAUGUGCUGUGCAUAUCAGGUGACCAGUAAACACUGUAGGAUGAU
This 743-nucleotide long non-coding RNA is filed under the name Homo sapiens (human). RNAcentral's name for it is "HSALNT0052677". Lineage: Eukaryota; Metazoa; Chordata; Mammalia; Primates; Hominidae. The record is from RNAcentral.